RNAcentral lists this ribosomal RNA (162 nucleotides) under Sargassum confusum. RNAcentral describes it as "5.8S ribosomal RNA". It matches the Rfam family "5.8S ribosomal RNA". From Rfam's summary of the family: 5.8S ribosomal RNA (5.8S rRNA) is a component of the large subunit of the eukaryotic ribosome. It is transcribed by RNA polymerase I as part of the 45S precursor that also contains 18S and 28S rRNA. RNAcentral also lists the same sequence under 1 other name. Lineage: Eukaryota; Phaeophyceae; Fucales; Sargassaceae. The record is from RNAcentral.
AACUUUCAGCGAACGAAUGUCUUGGCUCCCACAACGAUGAAGAACGCAGCGAAACCGCUGAUACGUCUUGCGACUUGCAGAAUCUCGUGAAUCAUCGAAACUUCGAACGCACCUUGCGCUCCCGGGAUAUGCCUGGGAGCAUGCUUGUCGGGGAGGAGGAGG